AGGCUCAGUUCCAUACAAGAGACUAAAGAACAUUGUGGAAAGCAGGUACCUUAUGGUAGAUGUACCCAAGUUAUCACCUGUUUGCCAGACAUAUUCCUUGGGGGUGUUCCAUUCUUUGGUGAACCACUUCUGCCCAAAGAGCACCCACUUCUUCUACCAACCAAAGCUUGCAAGGUAAUAACUGAUAAAGUUAAUUUUAUAAAAAUCAGAAGAUGUGGUAUGAUUGCCAAUAAAACAACUAUCCACUGGAGACAAAUAACAUAGAAGUAACUAUCUAUGUAUAGGUCACUAUGCAGCCUUUGACAAUAAGCAAAACCUGUACCGUCUAGUAAGCUUUAAUUUUGUGUUGUAUUACCACUGCAUGAAAUACUGUUUUCAAUACAAUGAGCAGUAACUGGAUUACAAUUUGAUAGAAAUAACUGCGAUUUAUAAGAGAAACUGUUAAAAAAAAUGUUGUAUUUCCUUACUGCAUAUCAUACAAACAAUAUGCUAGUUAGGCAAAUUUCAGAAAUAUUGUCGAACUAAUUUAUGUAUUCAUGUUUACAGAUAGAGUAUUGCUGCUCUUCAUUAUAACGAGAACAGUGGGCAACAGCAAGCAACAACUAAAACUGGGUAACAGCUUUUCAGAAUGUGUUACCCAAAGGUCAAACAAGGUACUGAGGCAGUGGUUAAGCCAAAGAAGACUGCACCAACAUUUGGUAAGUAUU
Molecule: long non-coding RNA, 707 nt
Filed under: Mytilus galloprovincialis (Mediterranean mussel)
Lineage: Eukaryota; Metazoa; Mollusca; Bivalvia; Mytilida; Mytilidae
Source: RNAcentral